Molecule: long non-coding RNA, 3898 nt
Organism: Papaver somniferum (opium poppy)
Lineage: Eukaryota; Viridiplantae; Streptophyta; Magnoliopsida; Ranunculales; Papaveraceae
Exons: 6
Source: RefSeq, a predicted model, not a curated record
UAAAUAACGACUGAGAUCCACUAUUACAUCAUUUCUCUUAUCCUUGAAAUGUCCGGCUGAUGAUUUUUUCAUUCAUGUAAAAGGCGUUACUCUUCGAAGCAAUCAAUUUAUCAAACGCGUUACUCUUCAGAGCGAUCAAAUCUUUUCUGACAUCAAGAUAUAUUUUCCCAGGCAUCACUCAUUCUUAUUUCAUACUGAUUCAUCAUCCCAUCACAGGGAUUCUCAUACACGGGUUUUAUUUGAUUUGCACCACGCAAGUAAGUAACAAUUGAUUUUAUACAGGGAUUUUGGACGCCCAAUUAAAAGCCUUACUAAUGAAGACAAAAAAAAAUGACACUAUAUAACCAUGGAUAUACCUAGAUAAUGUUGGUGUUACAAAGAUGAUCAAACUUUAUUUACGGAGGUUCAGUUGGGGAUUUAUAUCAGAAACACACCCUGAAGUUUUAAGGUUCCCCAAUUGAUGGAAACGUUGGUUAUGAAUCGUACUCUUCAAUAACAGAAUUGGUUCACAUAAUUCCUACCACUUGAGCUUUUAUAGGUGUCUUUGCUUAUCAAUUAUGACCUUCCAAGAUGGUCUGAAGAUGAUGCCAACCAAGUAGCCUGGAAUGAACUUUAUUGCGAGGUAGCCUGAAAAUGAUUUUACAUUUCCCUUCAAUCUUCUUAAAGAUUUCAGAGAUGGGAGCAUUUAGCUUUGUGAAGACUGGGUCUACAAAUAUUCCCUUCUUUUGUUGGUUAUGGUCACGCCCUUUCACUAUGAACUCUUUCAGGUCUUCGGGUCUGUACCUGCGAGGUCUGAGAUUCUACAACAUUAGCUCAUCUACUGUUUCCUCGGACUAACUUAUCGUAUGUCUCAUGUUGGAUUUCUUCGAGCGCCAUGUAGUCCUCCUGGAUUUCUCUCAACUUCCCUAGGAAAGGUGGCAUUGUUUUGUAUAUCCUUACAAAUAUGGGGUCAGUCUUUCACGGGUUAUUUUUAAAUCCUAAGAUCGCAUAGGCCUCGGGGACCCUUUUGAUAUCAGCUUAGAGUUCCCUCCAUCGUUGGCUAGUGAUCGUAAGGACUCGUAUGGUCCUCUACUUAGUUGGAAUAACAUGUCAAUUCCUAGUUUGACUCGUGUGCUAUGCAUGUAGGCUUUCAAAAAAAUUCAGAUAGAUGAAAUCAAAGGAUUGCAGCGAAUCCUUCAGGAGGUUAUUGAAUCACAUCAGGGACUCUUUUUUCAGACUUGCUGGAAAGAACUUACACAUCACGACGUCAUAUUGGGUCAAUUGUGUUAAUGUCAUUCGAUACGAUCGUAGAUGCUCAAUCGCAUCGCCAGUUCCACUAAAGAUUGUUGUGAAAUUUGAGAGAGAGCAUUUCCUUGGAAAUGAUUAAGCUAAUAGGCUUACCACCAUGGGAAACUGUCCUUCCUCCUGCAUAACUUCUGCUAAUUUCUAGCCUCGUUUAUUCUGGGUUGCUUCUUUGUACAUCAGUUCAAACUGGUUUAACCUUAAUUGCAAUGUAUCGUCGAUGUCCCUCAUUUUUCCUAUGAGAGUCCUGCUCGGAUGGGAUGAAAAUCUCCUGGCAACGAUAUCUUGACUAUCCCGAGUCCUCGUCAGAUUGUUCGUCGAGCGAUACAUACUUAGUUGGUUGAACUCUCUCCCUCCUCGAUGUCACCUUUCGUCUAGAGUUUCCUCCUGAUGUCCUGUCGGACUAGGCAGGGUUUCGAACUUCGUUCUUCUUCUGGUUUUCUACACGUUUAUGUCUGGGGUUAAUUUCGAAUGACUCCUCCGAGUAGCUUCUCGCUUCAUCUCGGACCUCCUUUCUCCUUCGUGGAAAUUGAUCCUCGGUAGCUUCGUUCGAGGUAUCAAGCAGAAUGAAGUAUUCAUCGUCUGCAAGCUUCUCUAGAGGAUUUUCCUCUUCGAAAUUCUCCUUCGGAUGGCAGAUAACACCUUUUUGUGUUUUGCCUGACGUUUCAACCUUCUGUUUUUCUUUUCCAACUUCUUGUUCUGUCGUUCUAACUUUUUCGUUCUCUCUUAUUGCACCUUUUGAGAUUUCAUGAUAGAUUUGAGCUCGGGCGGCGGUGUUAUUAUCACGGAUAGAGGAGUCCUCCUUUCACACCAUGGUAUUAACUACUGGGUUCAUUAGUCCUCCAUUUUGAGUCAAAUGAAUAUCCUCAUGGUCCUCGGAUGAGGCACCUUUUUCUUCAGAAUCAGAAUUAUCUGUUAGUCUUUCACGAUAUUGGUUAUCGGGAUUUCCAUCUCCAUGACAGAGGUUUUUUGGCAGAUCCUCUCCUAGCUUCAUCGUGUCUAGUUCUUCGGACGGCAUACCGUCAGUUUCUCUAUGGUUCGUGCGAGCAGUUCGUCUCGCCACCAUCGUCUUUCCUGUGAGAGAUGCAAUAAUACUCAUUUUUAUUUUCUUUCUAAAAAGUGGGACCCUGGAUUUGCAUGUCAUGUGCAGUUUCUAAGUCAGAGUUUCAGACUGUAUUGUACGAUCUUAAGCUCAGAAAGACUUGACAGUGAGUUUUGUAAAUACUUGAAUAUGAUGUUAAAAACAUUCCCCAACUGGGAAAAGUUUUAGUGUCAGGAAAAGGGGUUUUCUUUUUCUCUGUUUUAGAUUAAACUACCUCCUCCUGCACAUCAUACCUUUAAUGGUUAAAAAACAGUUUUGGCGAGUGAGCACCUUUUCCCUUUUUUGAAGUGUUCCUCAACGCCUACUGAUUUUGAUUUUCAACAAUUUUAUGAUUGAUGAUAUACACUUUAACCUUUCUUCCUUUUUUAGAUCUGAGUUUCUACAAGAGAUUUUGGGUUGUUAUGAGUUUUAAGAGGCGAAAAUACCCCAAAAGGCUUGCAACCUUAGCACUUUUCAACUGUCGUAGUAUGUCUUUAUACUACGAAGUCUACUUAGUCAGAUAUCUUCCCAACUCAAUCAUAGAGGAGGUUUCAUGAACUUUUGCAAGAAAUCAGUGACAUCUCUGAUGUUCUAACCAUCAACUCUCGUGAGCAUCUUUAUAGGAAUAUGAUAAAACAACUUAAAAAUGCUUAAAUCGAGAAGAACAACUGAUAUUGCUUUAGAUUUAACACUUUUGAAGGAUCUACAGGACUUUGAAGCUGUGAAAUCGAAUAGAUCUUGUUGUGUCCUAGAUCAUCUCACCACAUUUUUAGAGAAAUCAACAAGAAAAUAAAUAACUUUCAUUUAGGGUUUUGAAAAACUUUUUAAGGGAGAUAGAAAAAAUCUUUGUACCUCCUUGUUUCUAGCACCAAAAUGUAAUUGCAUAAUUCUUGCAUACCACACCCAUGAAGAUCUAACGACUAAUAAACAUAAAGAUUCAAAGUAAAUACAAUAUGUAAAGAACAUGAAGUAAAUAAGAACACAAUCAUGUAACGUGGUUCGGCAUUGUAGACCUACAUCCACGGUGAAGAAAGCUAUCUUUUAUUAUUGAAGGUCUUACCCUUUUUAGAAUUACAAAUAUCUCUCAAACUUUUAGUUCUCUCUAACUUUCUUUGGAGCAUUACCAUUCAAGAUUACAUGUUUAUUUCCUUGUACAUGGACUGGUAUUUAUAAGCAAAGUAAACUUUUAAAGAUAUGAUAAGGUGCUUCUGGGCUUAUGACGAUGUGGUACAUCUCUCCAUUCUUCGGACUGGCUCCUUACUACUCCCCGUCGAAGCAUAUCGUCCUCCUCCUUCUUCAGAUCUCAUCGUAUUUGUUCCUUAUUCGGGUAGCAUCACAUAUCGCUCUUCAUCUGAGUUUAUGAUAUGAUGUACCUUUGUCUACAUCUGUAUCGUAUCUCUUCUGAUUUUAAUUAAAUGCACUGUUGUCCUUUAAGACCUUGACCCUCAGUAUGAUUUGACUAGUAUUAGGGCAAAGCUCGGUCAACCUCGCAUGCGUUGCUAUCUCAAGCAUGUUUGUCAAUGUUAGUGAUCAAAA